UUUUCUUUAAAUAAAUUACUUUUAUUAGAAAUAAGUGUACUGCUGUCCUAUAUAGUAUCUUGACAUGCACUACAAAAUUAUGUACACUUAAAGGAAAGGCUCUAUUCUUUAUUUUAGAAAUAUCUCCUUGUUUUAUUCUGAAACAAAACAAGAACUAACUGUUUUUGUUUGCCUGUUUGUUUUAUUUUUAUUUGAAUUACAGCUUUAGGAAGAUAGGUAUAUCUGUUUUCUUUCCUCCACUCCUUCCAAUAGUCAAUACGUACAGUAGUAAGCUGCCUUUAUUUCUACAUAAAUAGCUAGCCAUGGAAGCUGAGUAUAUAUCAUUGUCUUUAGGGAACAAAACAAACAAACAAAAAAGCACCAUAUUUCUUGUAUAUUUAUGAGGAGUUCAAGUAAACUAAGGUAAUACAACGUUGGAAGCUUCUAGGGAGAUAGCCAAUUGACGUCUCAACUACUGUUGGUUCUAUGCCCUUU
Long non-coding RNA from Pipistrellus kuhlii (Kuhl's pipistrelle), 474 nucleotides. RefSeq lists it as uncharacterized. NCBI's taxonomy places the organism in Eukaryota, Metazoa, Chordata, Mammalia, Chiroptera, Vespertilionidae. The transcript has 2 exons. The record is from RefSeq and is a predicted model, not a curated record.